GUUGCAUAGACACCAUUAAUAUGUCAAAAUAAAGUGUACCUGUAAAGGGUAUGAAGGCACGAUUUGGUAUUAUAAAUGUCCUUGGCAUGUUUUAGAAAGAGUUUAGUUUCAUUGUAUUGUGCUCAGUCCUCUCAAAAGAACUUCACAAAGGGUAAAAGGCUAACUAUUAUAUAUUCCCUUUUAGAGACAGUGUAAACAAUAACUUUAAAGCUCGAACAAAAAUGAUGCUUUCUUAUUGAUUCAGGCAUCAGCCAUUUGGGCCACUCUUUACUAAAUUCUUGACAAAGACAAAGCUUUUAUGGUUCAGGUGGACCUUGCUACACGCAGUUCUACUAUUCGUGAUUUUGUGUAUCUGCAGUCCACAAAUAGCCACCCGACCUCGACAUACGUGGGCAUCUAAAGGGUUUAUACCCACAUACCUGCUGUUGCUAGGUGGCUGGAAAUGACCUCCGAGGUCAUUUCUGGCCACCAUUUUGUAUGAAGGAGCCAUUUUGUGGCUCAUCUGUUGAAAAACAGAGAGAUUCCCCCCCACAAUUUUUCCUGGAAAAUAGCCAGACUAACAGAUUUGGAGGGCACUACUGGACAGAUAGACACCUGCGGAGCAUGGGAUGGCACUUUCUUUCAAGUAAUCUUGCCUUAAUUUUUCACUGUUUUUGGACUCCCCCCACCACGUUUGCAGAAACCUAGCCUCUCAAUUCCCACAGAUGCAAUGACUUGCUGUUUGCGAUUUCGUUACUCGCAGUUGUAGGUGAGGAACAGAACCCACGCGAAUAACGAGGUAUGGAAGGUUUUGGACAGCCUUUAUGGGGCUAGUUUCACUUUGGAUGAGAGAAACAUGGUCUCUUUACAGAAAAGGUGCAGAAGAAGGCAACCAAGAUGAUCGGGGGCCUAGAGGACCUUCCUUACAAGGCAAGGCUACAGCACAAAGACGACUGGAAAAGAUGACUGAGGGGAGACAUAAGAGAUGUUUAUAAAAUCAUGAUGUAGAGAAAGUAGAUAUAAUUUUUUCUCCCUCUUGCAUAACACUAGAACCAGGGGUCAUCCUGUGAAACUGAUUGGCAAUAAAUUUAGUACCACCAAAAGGAAUACUUCUUCAUGCAA
Long non-coding RNA from Hemicordylus capensis (graceful crag lizard), 1101 nucleotides. RefSeq lists it as uncharacterized. The record is from RefSeq and is a predicted model, not a curated record. NCBI's taxonomy places the organism in Eukaryota, Metazoa, Chordata, Lepidosauria, Squamata, Cordylidae. The transcript has 2 exons.